This 497-nucleotide ribosomal RNA is filed under the name uncultured Thiobacter sp. Its description in RNAcentral is "bacterial SSU rRNA". It matches the Rfam family "Bacterial small subunit ribosomal RNA", at positions 8 to 499 of the family's 1533-position model. Lineage: Bacteria; Pseudomonadati; Pseudomonadota; Betaproteobacteria; Burkholderiales; Thiobacteraceae. The record is from RNAcentral.
AGAGUUUGAUCCUGGCUCAGAUUGAACGCUGGCGGCAUGCUUUACACAUGCAAGUCGAGCGGCAGCGCGGGGGCAACCCUGGCGGCGAGCGGCGAACGGGUGAGUAACGCAUCGGAACGUAUCCUCAAGUGGGGGAUAACCCAGCGAAAGUUGGGCUAAUACCGCAUGAGCUCUGAGGAGGAAAGCGGGGGACCUGCAAGGGCCUCGCGCUUGUGGAGCGGCCGAUGUCCGAUUAGCUAGUUGGUGGGGUAAAGGCUCACCAAGGCGACGAUCGGUAGCUGGUCUGAGAGGAUGAUCAGCCACACUGGGACUGAGACACGGCCCAGACUCCUACGGGAGGCAGCAGUGGGGAAUUUUGGACAAUGGGGGCAACCCUGAUCCAGCCAUGCCGCGUGAGUGAAGAAGGCCUUCGGGUUGUAAAGCUCUUUCGGACGGAACGAAAUGGUUACGGUCAAUACCCGUGACUGAUGACGGUACCGUAAGAAGAAGACCGACUC